UCCGUCCAGUCGGAGCACAAGACGUGGGGUUCUACUACCAGACGUACGAGCCACUGUGAGUCAUACACCCCCUCCUAUCCGGCGGCAGAAGGUUCGUACUGUUCAAACCCACUCUUCACAUCGUCCCCCGUCUCCUUCCUCUACCAUUUUUUUACUCCACAGCAAGCUGGUACGGUGGAUACUGUUCAACGAGUUGGGGAGGCGGGAGAGACUCGCGGAGUACAACGUUUAACCAGUUUCGUAAGUCGUAAGACGUAUGAACUUUAAAAUAUUGUUCAUUCGACUUCUACCCCCUAUACACUACGUUCCAAACUACUAGACGACUAACCCCCCAACAGGGGUUGAAGGACACUCCUCGCACUGAACAGUUACCCGUAGAUCGUCGCCAAGAGAGGGGUACGUUACCGUCGCUCAAGUGGCCCGGCGUCUGUGGUAAGGAAGCCGACACCAAGUC
RNAcentral lists this ribosomal RNA (454 nucleotides) under Triticum aestivum (bread wheat). RNAcentral's name for it is "partial small subunit ribosomal RNA". Lineage: Eukaryota; Viridiplantae; Streptophyta; Magnoliopsida; Poales; Poaceae. The record is from RNAcentral.